This 560-nucleotide ribosomal RNA is filed under the name uncultured Glomus. RNAcentral's name for it is "SSU rRNA". It matches the Rfam family "Eukaryotic small subunit ribosomal RNA", at positions 546 to 1106 of the family's 1831-position model. The record is from RNAcentral. Lineage: Eukaryota; Fungi; Glomeromycota; Glomeromycetes; Glomerales; Glomeraceae.
AAUUGGAGGGCAAGUCUGGUGCCAGCAGCCGCGGUAAUUCCAGCUCCAAUAGCGUAUAUUAAAGUUGUUGCAGUUAAAAAGCUCGUAGUUGAAUUUCGGGAUCAAUAUUUCGGUCAUGCCGUUGGUAUGCACUGUUAUCAUUGAUUUCUCACCUUCUAAAGAACCGUAAUGCCGUUAAUUUGGUGUUACGGGGAAUUAGGACUGUUACCUUGAAAAAAUUAGAGUGUUUAAAGCAGGCUCACGCUUGAAUACAUUAGCAUGGAAUAAUGAAAUAGGACAUCCGAUUCUAUUUUGUUGGUUUCUAGGAUCGAUGUAAUGAUUAAUAGGGAUAGUUGGGGGCAUUAGUAUUCAAUUGUCAGAGGUGAAAUUCUUGGAUUUAUUGAAGACUAACUACUGCGAAAGCAUUUGCCAAGGAUGUUUUCAUUAAUCAAGAACGAAAGUUAGGGGAUCGAAGACGAUCAGAUACCGUCGUAGUCUUAACCAUAAACUAUGCCGACUAGGGAUCGGAUGAUGUUAAUUUUUUAAUGACUCAUUCGGCGCCUUACGGGAAACCAAAGUGU